AUUGAACGCUGGCGGCAGGCCUAACACAUGCAAGUCGAGCGGAUGACGGGAGCUUGCGCCUUGAUUCAGCGGCGGACGGGUGAGUAAUGCCUAGGAAUCUGCCUGGUAGUGGGGGACAACGUUUCGAAAGGAACGCUAAUACCGCAUACGUCCUACGGGAGAAAGCAGGGGACCUUCGGGCCUUGCGCUAUCAGAUGAGCCUAGGUCGGAUUAGCUAGUUGGUGGGGUAAUGGCUCACCAAGGCGACGAUCCGGAACUGGUCUGAGAGGAUGAUCAGUCACACUGGAACUGAGACACGGUCCAGACUCCUACGGGAGGCAGCAGUGGGGAAUAUUGGACAAUGGGCGAAAGCCUGACCCAGCCAUGCCGCGUGUGUGAAGAAGGUCUUCGGAUUGUAAAGCACUUUAAGUUGGGAGGAAGGGCAGUAAGUUAAUACCUUGCUGUUUUGACGUUACCGACAGAAUAAGCACCGGCUAACUCUGUGCCAGCCGCCGCAGUAA
Molecule: ribosomal RNA, 500 nt
Filed under: uncultured bacterium
Lineage: Bacteria
Description: partial 16S ribosomal RNA
Rfam family: Bacterial small subunit ribosomal RNA
Source: RNAcentral